GAGCGGCGCGGCGCGGCCGGGAGUUGAGCCGGCUGAGGGGGGCGCGCAGGAUGGAAGAGGAGGGGCUGGAGGGAGGGGCAGGCCGACCGACCGACCAGGUGUAGGGAGCGGGUGGCGCGCCCCGUAGGCUCCUGGAUCGGUGUCCCCGCCCGAGGGGCAAAACUUCGCGUCUUAAAACGUUGUAACCCUGCUUCGCCGCUGCAGAGUAAGUCAAACCCCGUCCUGAGCCUGAAGCGUGUGAAUGAAGUCGGUGACACCGGUGUCUCACAGCAGGUCAGGCUGAACUUCCCUGUCCCUCGCCUGGACUCCUGAAGGGUGUAAGCAGGCAGUACUUUAACAACCUGUUUCAUGUAUUGAUUGCUGGAUUCCCCCCGCUUGAAAACCUACUGGCGUUUGAGAUGGAGGAAGCAUGUAAAAUGACCUGGCUGGACGGCCAAGGCACGACGAUGGAGUUGCUGUGAGAGAGAGCGGCAAUAGAGCAUACAGCAAGAAGCAGAAGGGGGUGUUGGAACUUAAGAGAGCUGAUUCCCAGACCGACCAGGAGGAGGUGCCACCUGCGCUGCAAAUGUUUCAGCGCUCCCCUACCAUCUCUGUUCCAGAGGCUAGCGCAGAUAAGAAGGAGUCAGAACUUCUCAAUCCACCACUCCCAGGCGAUGAAACAAGAUUCUUUUAAAGUGCUCUUCUGUGCAUCAGAAAACUUGUGGGUCUCAUGGCAAUAUGGAAGGUUAAACAACAGUUGAUGCCUUGUGAAAAAGAUUGAAAAACAACCUAUUGAGAAACAGUGCAGUCUACAUAUCUGAAUUUGCACAGAAAUUAAUGUUCUGUGCAGAAUUUCCUUUUCCCCCCACAGAAAUGGGCUGCUGAGCUGCUGGCAGCCACUAGAUUUGGCAGAGCCCAGCUCCAAAAUAGAGGAUACUGUGAAGAGAACGGGGACAGAGCUGGAGGAUUCUGGGCAGUUGCAACUCCUGGCAUGCCCUGAAGGAAGGAGAUGGCAAGCAGAAAAUUCCACACAAGCUCAGGACCCAGCAUCAGGCUGUUUGUCCCUCUGGAUCCCUGGGCUCUAGCAGCAAAAAACUUGAUAACUUCUGUGAGUGUCCUGUGAGAGGAACUGGAAACUGCAGAGGGAGAUGGUUUUGGGGAGAUUCAGGACUGGAAGAGUUGUUGGUGUCAUCCUGCAAGGAGUAACAAGGCUAGGAGAACCUAGGAUGAAGCCAUUAUGCUGGUGAAGGCUACUUGCAUCAGGGCUCUGAGCCAAAGCUGCACAGCAUAGAAGCACUCUGUUACAGGGCAGGCAGUGGUGAACUCCCAAAGCAUCACAUUGGCAUAGUCAAACAGGAUUUACUGUUUUCUGCUUGCUAUUUGGCUCACACUCAAACCACAGUUGCCAACUUUCACGUGGUAAAUAAGCACCCCGACUUUCACAAUAAGCCAAAAAUUAAGCUAAUACCAUUUCAAAACAAGGCCAAAGCAAGCCAGUCCCUAAGAACCCCAGCACUCUAUAUGACUAGAUCCCCCCUAGGUGGGCAGUCUGGGACUGUGGUGGGCCUGCUGUGCACCCCUGAAUCUCUCCCCCUCUUGCCCCUUGUCUCUGCUUGCUUGGAGCCGAUCAAAACAAAGAAGUAACAAGCUGCAACAAGACAAAAACUAGCCAACAAGAAACUCACAAGCCAAUUAAACUAAAAACAAGCCCAAUUUCUACAAUUUUUUUCAUGGGUUUGGCAUGUCUGACUCAAACCACUGAUUUACUAGAUUUUUAAGAGAUUUUUCAAGUGAGAAGGCUGAGUGGAGUCAAAGAAAGUUUACAGAUUUAUUGUUUUUUGUUUGCUUAUUUUGGGCAAGGACCUAGAACAAAAGGCAUUUUAAAAUGAACAGCAGCGAAAUAACCACAACGUUAGAACUAGACAGAUUGGAGGCUGAUCAGAAAGAGAAAGAAUGCAAAGCUGCAAAAGCAGCUCAUGAUCACCAGAAAUGGGAAGCCAAACAGCAAGAUAAAACCAAAUAAGAGAAGCAGACCAGAGAGCCAAAAAAGUGGACCUGAGAGACGAGGAGAGGGAGGCAGAAAAGCAACAACAGGAGGAAGGUUUCAGAGUAGCAGCCGUGUUAGUCUGUAUUCGCAAAAAGAAAAGGAGGAAGCACACCAGUGAACAAUGGAACUAAAAAGAGAAAGAAGCCCAAGAAAGGGGGGGGGGAGAGAGAGAGAGACUGUAUAACCUGGAUAUGAUGGAUAAAUAUGGACACAACCCACAGGUACUCUCUAUUUCUCAGGAAUAGUCUGAUGGGACAAGCUAUGCCCUGCAUACAAAAAAUCAGAUUGCAUUGAGGAAUAUCUUACUACUUUUGAAAGAUUCUGUGUGUUGCAUAAGGUCCCAGAAGACAAGAAAUUCCCCACGCUGGUGAAAAGGCUUUUGGAUAAAGCAGUAAAUGUAUUUAAUGAAAUGCCAAUUGAAUAGGUUUGAAAUACAAUGAAUUUGAAAAGGCUGUAUUGCAAAGGUUUCAAAUCACCCCUGAAGUGUACAGGUUGAGAUUUAGAAACUCAAAAAGGAUGUUAAUAUGAGUUGUAGAGAAUAUAUGUAUGAUUUGAUGAGGAAAUGGGCAGAAGGAAAAGGGGCAGAGAAUUACGACCAGUUACUUGAACUUUUUGCACAAGAGCAUUUUCUAAGUGUAUGUAUGCUCUGAUGAAAUCAGAGCUGUUCUUUGGGAUAAAUCUCUAAUGUCUGUGCAAGAGGCUGCUGACACAAGACAGUUUCCAGUGAGCACAAGCCUCCAAGGGAAGGGCAGAGGGAGGAAAGUGGGAGGGUUGAGCCCAGGCACUUAUCUCCUCAGAACCGAUGCCCUCCUGGAAAUCACAUUUGCAGACCUAUGUCAUCGGAGAACGGACCCAGAAAGUAUUUCACAUGUAAUUCCACCAAGCACCUGAGGGACAAUUGCCCUAACCAAAGGGAAUCUAAGCCUACAACCAUCCAGCCACAACCCAGAGUAAUGCCGCUGUUGUAAACACAGGAUCCACAGAGGUGCCUGAAACAUUCCUGAUAAUCUUUGUAAGGUCCGGCCCUUUGGAGGUUGCUGCUGAGUUUAUUAAAUCAUCACAGAGAAUGGCAAAGAAUGCCUAGAGUGGAGAGACAUUGGUGCCCAGAUCUCUCUGAUUAGCAAGAGCAUGGUCAGGAAGACUGACAGGCUGCAGGGAGAAAGUGUAGAGCUCCUGGCAUUGGGAAGCUGUAAAACCAGUGUGCCUUUAGCUAAAGUGCAUUUGGAGUGGGAAGGCGUGGAAGCCAUUUUAAAUGUUGGUGUGUUGGAUUGAAUUCCAGCAGAAAUACUCAUAGGAAAUGAUGUAUUCACUAUGUCUAAAGUUGUUUAAUACAAACCUGCUCUUUUCUGAAUGUUGGCAGAAUGAAAGGCUGUCUUAGAAACACCUGAAACUGGGCUGCUUGAUAAAAAGGAGUAAUAAGAAGAUAAAACUUCUGAUGCUAGGAGUAGUCACAGAUUUGAUCCUGUGUGAAAUUUUAGCCAUUUUUCACCAGUGGCUCAACAGACUUUGACAAGAAAAUGAUGAAAUUCUGCCCUGUUGGAAAAAAUCAAGAGUUGUGUACAUUUGACCUUGGCAGAAAAGUCACUGUUUUACAAAGAAAACAUUUUGUUGAUGUUGUUUGUCAAAAUUACAGUUCUCUGCUUGUGUAA
This is a long non-coding RNA of Dermochelys coriacea (leatherback sea turtle), 3675 nucleotides long. RefSeq lists it as uncharacterized. NCBI's taxonomy places the organism in Eukaryota, Metazoa, Chordata, Testudines, Dermochelyidae. The record is from RefSeq and is a predicted model, not a curated record. The transcript has 7 exons.